RNAcentral lists this ribosomal RNA (253 nucleotides) under uncultured bacterium. RNAcentral's name for it is "partial 16S ribosomal RNA". It matches the Rfam family "Bacterial small subunit ribosomal RNA", at positions 524 to 776 of the family's 1533-position model. The record is from RNAcentral.
UACGAAGGGGGCUAGCGUUGCUCGGAAUUACUGGGCGUAAAGGGAGCGUAGGCGGACAGUUUAGUCAGAGGUGAAAGCCCAGGGCUCAACCUUGGAAUUGCCUUUGAUACUGGCUGUCUUGAGUGCGGGAGAGGUGUGUGGAACUCCGAGUGUAGAGGUGAAAUUCGUAGAUAUUCGCAAGAACACCAGUGGCGAAGGCGGCUCACUGGCCCGAUACUGACGCUGAGGCACGAAAGCGUGGGGAGCAAGCAGG